This 784-nucleotide unclassified non-coding RNA is filed under the name Hevea brasiliensis (rubber tree). Lineage: Eukaryota; Viridiplantae; Streptophyta; Magnoliopsida; Malpighiales; Euphorbiaceae. The record is from RNAcentral.
UGGGACUGCAAUGGGCAAGAGUCCCUCUUGGCCUCUCCACAAUGGACAAAGUCACUUCUUGCCUUAGGCAAAAACCAAAUAACAUUUUCAUCCUACUAUUAUAGUGUUAGUCCUCUCGGUUAUAAUCUAAUUAGGAAUCUAACUUAAUUUAAGAAUACCAUUAUGAUAAGAGUUAUAUCCUAUACAAGAAAUAAUAUUCCAUUCUAUAGCAUAAUCAAGUCCACACAAAUUAGAGAACACAAAUUCAACGUGAUCCCGCAUACGUUUACUCUACUAACAAAUACACUGUUAAAGGAAAAUUAAUUUAUAAGCACUAAUUAUUUUUCAGUCACUUACAAUAAAUCACUCACAAAUAUAAAACCUCACAAUUCGGUGGCCUUAAUCCAGUCAGUCCACCUCUCAAUUUUGGCUGCUGCCACUUAUAUUCUGCUCUCUUAACAGCCUUUUCUCAUCUCAAUUUAAAGGAGCACACCCUCCUUUUAUAGCCCCACGUGAUGGACAUUCAAAGUCCAAAUUGGAAACAACUUUUAUUCCUAGUCAAUUUAGUAUUUACCGAAUUCUAAGAACAAAACUUCUAUAUUUUUUAUUUUAAUUUUGUUCCUAAUUAAUUCAAUCUCCUAAUUCUAUUUUAACUUGGAUCCCAACAAACUCCAAUAUAGCAGACUAACAAUCACAGAUCACGGCAGGCAAACAUGCCAGGCAUAACAUGACAAUAUUGGAAAACUCAUUAUGCUAACUGCAAAAAUUAAAUCAUGAAAGGAAGCGAAACUAAUACAAAAAUAAA